This 312-nucleotide ribosomal RNA is filed under the name Salmonella enterica subsp. enterica serovar Heidelberg. RNAcentral's name for it is "bacterial LSU rRNA". It matches the Rfam family "Bacterial large subunit ribosomal RNA", at positions 1521 to 1811 of the family's 2925-position model. Lineage: Bacteria; Pseudomonadati; Pseudomonadota; Gammaproteobacteria; Enterobacterales; Enterobacteriaceae. The record is from RNAcentral.
UAGGUGUGUGUUCCAGGUAAAUCCGGUUCACUUUAACACUGAGGCGUGACGACGAGGCACUACGGUGCUGAAGCAACAAAUGCCCUGCUUCCAGGAAAAGCCUCUAAGCAUCAGGUAACAUCAAAUCGUACCCCAAACCGACACAGGUGGUCAGGUAGAGAAUACCAAGGCGCUUGAGAGAACUCGGGUGAAGGAACUAGGCAAAAUGGUGCCGUAACUUCGGGAGAAGGCACGCUGACACGUAGGUGAAGUGAUUUACUCAUGGAGCUGAAGUCAGUCGAAGAUACCAGCUGGCUGCAACUGUUUAUUAAA